GUAACACAGGUGCUGCAUGGCUGUCGUCAGCUCGUGUCGUGAGAUGUUGGGUUAAGUCCCGCAACGAGCGCAACCCUUGUCAUUAGUUGCUACAUUCAGUUGGGCACUCUAAUGAGACUGCCGGUGACAAACCGGAGGAAGGUGGGGAUGACGUCAAGUCCUCAUGGCCCUUAUAGGUGGGGCUACACACGUCAUACAAUGGAUGGUACAAAGGGUCGCCAACCCGCGAGGGGGAGCCAAUCCCAUAAAGCCAUUCGUAGUCCGGAUCGCAGUCUGCAACUCGACUGCGUGAAGUCGGAAUCGCUAGUAAUCGUGGAUCAGAAUGUCACGGUGAAUACGUUCCCGGGUCUU
RNAcentral lists this ribosomal RNA (351 nucleotides) under uncultured Acidovorax sp. RNAcentral's name for it is "bacterial SSU rRNA". It matches the Rfam family "Bacterial small subunit ribosomal RNA", at positions 1029 to 1382 of the family's 1533-position model. Lineage: Bacteria; Pseudomonadati; Pseudomonadota; Betaproteobacteria; Burkholderiales; Comamonadaceae. The record is from RNAcentral.